ACGGAAGGCAGCAGUGGGGAAUAUUGGGCAAUGGGCGCAAGCCUGACCCAGCAACGCCGCGUGAGGGAAGAAGGCUUUCGGGUUGUAAACUUCUUUUACCAGGGACGAAGGACGUGACGGUACCUGGAGAAAAAGCCACGGCUAACUACGUGCCAGCAGCCGCGGUAAUACGUAGGUGGCAAGCGUUGUCCGGAUUUACUGGGUGUAAAGGGCGUGUAGGCGGAACUGCAAGUCAGAUGUGAAAUCCCGGGGCUCAACCCCGGAACUGCAUUUGAAACUGGAGUCCUUGAGUAUCUGAGAGGCAGGCGGAAUUCCUAGUGUAGCGGUGAAAUGCGUAGAUAUUAGGAGGAACACCAGUGGCGAAGGCGGCUUGCUGGACGACAACUGACGCUGAGGCGCGAAAGCGUGGGGAUCAAACAGGAUUAGAUACCCUGGUA
RNAcentral lists this ribosomal RNA (437 nucleotides) under uncultured Oscillospiraceae bacterium. RNAcentral's name for it is "partial 16S ribosomal RNA". It matches the Rfam family "Bacterial small subunit ribosomal RNA", at positions 341 to 792 of the family's 1533-position model. The record is from RNAcentral. Lineage: Bacteria; Bacillati; Bacillota; Clostridia; Eubacteriales; Oscillospiraceae.